Molecule: long non-coding RNA, 2822 nt
Organism: Tetranychus urticae (two-spotted spider mite)
Lineage: Eukaryota; Metazoa; Arthropoda; Arachnida; Trombidiformes; Tetranychidae
Source: RefSeq, a predicted model, not a curated record
UACCAAGGACACCAUAAGAAAUGCGGUUUAAUUUCUAGCAAUUUAUUUAUGUAACUGUUUUUAAUUAUUUGCCAUUAAUUUAACGAUUAAUUGGAACUCAUUUUAUUGGAAAAAUAGUUUUUAUAUUGGUUUGUGAUCCAGUUAAUAAUUUGACAAAAAUCAAUUUUAUGUGUUUAGACAAGCAAAAACUGCGUGACAAUAACAACUGUUAACCAAAAAAGCCAAAAGCGUCUUAUGUCGUUUAAAAAUUAAUGAUUGACAAAUGAUCGUGUUAAUUUUAACAUUAAACAAACGGAUUAAAUGACUUCCUGAUUGUGAUUUGAAGAUCCUACACUGAUUAGAUUAUCAGUUCAUCAAAACAAUCUGAUGUCGCACAUCACUUUGGUUUUAUCAUCGUUAAUUUUGUUGGCCACUAAAUGCAUUUCUGGCCAAAUGAUUUGGUAAUUGGAUUAAACUCUUGGUUAGCUGAUUCCAGGAAAUCUCAAUUGAUUCUGAUAAUGGCUCUGAUGGUGAUGAUCAGGAUGGAAUCAAACAAAAACAAAGCAUCGAGAUAUAAUCAUAAGAUAAUUGAGAAAAUACGUAACUUAUUGUGAAUUUGAUCCGUUAAUUCAGCUGGUAACAUUCAACAAUCAACAUUCGAUUGGCAAAAGAUGAUAACUCGAUCUACCUAACUGAAAGCCACACAAGCAAUAUUAUUAUGGAUAAGCUGAUGCCGAUCAAUGAUGUGGUUUGAUGCUGAUCAAGAAGCUUGAAUUUUAAAGUUUGACCAUUGAUUAACUCCCACGGAUGAAACACAUUUAAGUGAUAGGAACAACCAAACCUGUAAAAUUUGAACCCAACGAACGUAAACUCUGGAUAUCGUUUGAUCAUUCAAAAUUGGACGUGAUUACUACCAUAACAAUAGGCUUAAAAGGAGAGGACAUUCAAAAUUUAGUGCCAUUUCUAGUUCAGGUGUACUUGUGUUAUGUAACAAUUUUACGGAAAGGCCUGAUGACUUUAUAACAUAGAGUCUAAACUAAACCCAAGAGUGACAAUAAAAAGAGAAAUGAUUCCGUCUUGAUUGUCCACUUAAUCAAAGUGCCAAAAGCUGCUAAUUUGCUUCAUUUUUCAAGGUGGUUCAAUGUUAUCAACCUAAUAAUUGGUAGUAAAGUAAACUCGGAUAAUCAAAUUUCCUGAAAGUUUGAACAAUAAGCAGAUGGAACGUGAUGAUAAGUAAACUAUAAAAUGUUAACAAUCUUGAUGAUAAAAAUUUAAGGUUAAAAAGUUUGAUAAUAAUGCGAAUGGCUCAAGAUGUUGGAAAAAAAGUUGGUUUAUUUGGUCAUUUUUUGGAGGCUCUUCAAACUUUUGGGACAAUUUAAUUUAUUCAAAGUGCAAUGAAAUUUAUGUGUGACUUUUUUGAAGGUGAAAUCUGACUUGGUUAAUGAAACAAUUAAUGAGCAAUUCAGUGUUAAAAAAUUGGCAACACUUGUGACUAUGAUGGACUAAUGAAAAAUCCUUGUUUAUUUAUGAAUAAUGAAUCUUAAGGAGAGCACUAAAUGGAGAUCUCAACGCAAAUUAAAUAUUAACUUUCAUCUUUUGUCAAGGAAAUUGCAAUUAAACUGUUUAAUGGGAAAUCAUUUUGGACCAAAUCAGCGGAAAAUUACAAUUGAAAUGGAUAGAUAAACAACUUGUUAAUUGUAAUGAUAAUACACAUGCAAAGUAGGGGAAAUCAAUCUCGAUUUUUGACAACACCAAGCCCCAUUUCAUGUCAUUGAUUGACCAAGAUUAUGAAUUAAUGAAGAAAAGCCUGUUGAAAUUGUAAACACAUUCAACUUUUCAACAGUUGCAACUUACCAAUCAAGUCUUAAAAAAAUCAAACAAUCUGUACAUAUGAUUUUGGUUAAUGACGAGACGUCAACAUCUGGUUUACCCAAAAAUGUACAAUUUUCUCAUCAUUUACAAAUGAUUACUAAAUGUUUCAAUCAUCACCAGAUCAAGGAACCAAUGUGAACCCAAUGUUUAAAGAUAUUUCCCGGUUGAACCAGGAUUACCAUUUCUUUACCAUCCAAAGUGAUUAGGUGUGUGAACGGCAACAUAAAAUAGUAUCAAAAUCACAGCAACGUGUUAAUUUUUGUGGUAAACACAAAACGAUAGAUUUCAAUUGAGAGUAGGAGUAAUCAUGAUUUGUUUCACUAUUCAUCAACACUAGGUUAAUCUCGUGCAAGGUCAGGUUUUCUUAGGUGAGGUAAAUUUUUUGUGUGUUAGUGUUUUAAUAUUGAUGAAUUGGUUUACAAAAAGCGCUUUUCUUACCCAAUAAGUUGAUAUUAAUCUAGAUUAAUUUGGAUGGAUCGAUAAUAUUAAUAAUGAAGUGAAUCAAAAGGAGUUGCUUUUAAUCACCUUUCAUCAGACAAAAUAAGGUGCUAAUGAAUUUUUUAUCCAUUAUCAAUAAGUUAGUUUAAAGGCUAAAGAGCAUUUUAUGUUCACCGAUUGAUAUAGUUGUUAACACAUAACAAUAGGGUUGACCUGUUGUUAUAUAUUGCUUUGGUUACUGAUUUUUUUCCGCUCACAAAACCAUUCAAUCGGUUUACAUGAUGAUGAAAAGCUAAACCAUUUGAACCUGAUUCGGUAACAAUGAAUAUCAUGUAGCAUUAAUAAUAAGCCAGAUAGCUUGAUUGAAAUGCUAACGGGAAACAAGAAAGAAAGGAAGAAGAAGAUGAUUGUUGAAUGAAUAAAUGAAUGAAAAUGAUGAUGUUUCUUGGAUGUAUUAGUAGUUUGUUUUAUUGUUUAUCAUGAUAGCUUGUUGAUUUAUAAUAAUUUAUCAAAGGGAAACAACUUACCGUGCA